CGGCUGCUGACUCUGUAUAUUUAGGUGGAGCGCGGAACACAGCUGGCCUAACGCAUGGGGCUGGCGUGUAUCGCAGGGAUCGGCUGCAGCGGGUGACUGUGGGGAGUUUGAACAUGAUGGGAGGUCUUCGAAAGCAAAUUCCUUUGUAAACAAGACACAGGUAGACACUGGAUUUGCAGAAAGACUGAUCCAUCUAUACUGGAUCCGACAGGAAUGGCCCAGCACUCUUAUGUUCCUUGUGACAGAUGCCCGAGGAGCCAUUGAGGAAACGGGAGCUGACUUCAUUGUAAGCUGAUGAAAG
Long non-coding RNA from Cyprinus carpio carpio, 301 nucleotides. NCBI's taxonomy places the organism in Eukaryota, Metazoa, Chordata, Actinopteri, Cypriniformes, Cyprinidae. The record is from Ensembl.